UGUCAUGAUAGCAUGUACUGAGUCGGGGCCAGUACCAGAUAAGCACAUUAAACUAUAAUCCAUAAACGUAAGGUAACAACAGAGAACUAAUGGUGCUGUGACAGCAACACGAUUGAGUUUGAGACAGUAAAAAUACAUAUGGUAUGUUGUAUCUGAACAGGUUAGCUUAUGAGCUAAAGUUACUUAGCACAGAUGAAAGUUAAAACAAAGACGUUUAUCAAACUGUUAAAGCACACAAACCAUCGUCAUAUGAGAAAUCCGACGCUAUGACUCUCCACAAGUUGUCCUUCAGGUCGUUAUCUUUGUAAUAUUUGUGUUUUUUAUCAAAAAGCACUCUGUUCUCCGACACGUAAACAAUCAGCCAGCCAUGUUGGAUAUACCGGUGAUUCAGACGUCGCAACAACACAAAAUCUUAUUGGUCCGAAGUAGAUACACAGUAUGCGAAACUUUAGAAAAUUCGACCGUGAUACGAAAAAUGAAUGUCGCAAUAUCACAGGUCAGGAAAACGUCACUGAUGUGAACGCUUGUAUUGACAGGAUACGGGUUUAAAAAUAUAUAUAUAUUGACAUCCGACAUAAUCACCCGAAAAAAGCGCUUUGUGUUCUUUUAUUGGAGAGAGCCAAUAUGGAAGUUUUUCUGGUACCAGAAAAUAAACUGUUUCUUCAAAAUUUUAAAAGCUGAGUUCAAAAUUUAAACAGUGUGAUGUCAAAAGUAUUUUCUUUUAGGGAAAUGCUUAAAAAAAACAAAUGUUAAAAACCUUUCAGUGCAAGAAAUACAAGAAAACAACAUCACUGAGUCAUUUCCGGAUGUGGAAAAUCUUUAUUGUCCCAAAGCAGCAGUUUGUUCUGCAACAGCAGUCCACACAUGAAUCAUACAACAGCACUGGAAAUACACAAAAUAACAAACAGUAGAGGACCUGGUUCGUCUAAAGGAGAGAUUUGGGAAAACAUUGGCAUACUUGUUCACAGUAAUAGUGGGAUACUGGUUUGUUUAUGAGUGGUAGGUACUGUUAGGUCUAAUGUUUGCAUAGAAAGCAUGUCCUCUGUCAUUACCCCAUGGUGCAGGAAUAAAUAAUAGAUUUCGAUCAGCUGUUCCAGAGUUUCUAACUGCUGCUAAAUCUGGCGAUGGCACCAGUUGAUGAUAUUGAGCAGCUAUCACUGGGAUGAGCAGCUCAGCAUCUGCUGCUGUCUGGGGACUGUGACAGCAGAAUGGAUAGCUGGAUUAAAACAUUAGACAGCUGCUGAUGAAGGACCCUUAAUUAGAUGGUAUAAGAAUAUUUAUCAUAUUUGAGACGGGUGACAACAAUAGCCUGAUUACUUGUGGAGACACAGAGAUAAGGACUGCCCUUACCUGCAUACACGUGGACAUGGACUGAUUAAUUCAUAUUUCAGUCUAGAUGAAGAUGAGUCCAUACAGCCAAGACUAACACUCCAUCAUUACAUCAGAGGGUUGAUGUCCGCUUAGCCCUCCAAUCAGCCCCCCAUUCGGUUUAGAUGACACAUGGUUUGUCAGAUGUCAGAACAACAGUCAGAGCUCUGCAGGACCGACCGAGCGCACUCUGUCACAACACGUCAAACCCGCGCUCUGAUGGAAAUAAUGAGCGUUACAUGACAGGGAACAAGCAUCUGGAAGCUUCUUGAGUUUCUCCUGGAAAAUCUUAAGACUGGAUUGAAGAUAUCUGGAUCUAGAUGUUUUGUUUUCCCUCGAAUGCCUCUAAAAAAGUAAAGUUUUCCUGAUUUGAGGGUCUAAUCUUAUGAAUGCUAAUAUUUGUUUACAACAGUAGAUGACACCGUUUAUCUGUGAAGUGAGCAAACCCCCUUUGUGAAGAAGGGCCAAACUGGUGAUUCGAUUGAAGUUAGGAUCAAACUCAAAUGAUUGACGUCUAGUUGUGUGUGAAGAUUGUCAUAUUAUCAAGUGUUGGUAUCUGGCCAAUCUCCGAACAUUGAGACAUUGUUGCUAUGUUGAAACCGUGAGUUUAAUUUCUUUCGGCUUCUUCCCUCAGACUCAGUCAGCCCGUUUGGUGGGACAGAUGGCUCUGAAUCAAAGCCUCGCUUUCACUUUUUGAAUACUACUUUUGUCUCUCCAACUUUCUCACUUUGGUUUUCUCACUCGACGCCCUCUGACUGCCCAGCUGUCAAAACCCGAAUGAGUGAAGAGUGUAGACAGGACACCUGUUAGUGUUGAAAACUGAUCUCUUGUUUAUGGGAAGUUUAAAUCAAAAUUUCAAAAGAAAACUUCAAGAAGAUUAGAUUUAGACGUGAAAUUACUUAUAUUGUGGCACCCCGGGAAGAAAAAAAAAAUCAGAAUAUUUCUCCACAGUCUUUCUUUUGUGCAAAGAAAUGAUAUUUUCAUCUUUCAAAGAGGGUUGAUUAGUUUACAGUCAUCAGCAUCACACCAUCAUCCCACAAAGAAUAAAACAAAGUAUUUAUAAAAGUACUUAAGACACAAUUUGCAAGUCAUUUGGAUGCAUAGCAGUUAGCUAGAUUUAUUUCAAAAAGGCAGUGGAGGACUCACGCACAUAGAAAGAUGGAAAAGAUAAAUGUCUUAAAAAGUUGGAUUCAUUUUAUUGCUAGGAUCAAACAAAUAAGCAGAAAGCGUUUCAGUCGACUAUCAUAAGUGCAAUAGUGAGAGGUCAGUCUGACUGUGUCUUUGAGUUCUUCUCAGUCAGACUGGAGAGAUUAAUUAGACACACCUGGAGUCCUUAAUUGGAAACACCUGGAGCCCUUAAUUAGACACACCUGGAGCUUCUUACACAGAGCAGGUAAUUGAGCCAGGGUGUGGCCCAGGAUGCAUUGUGAUACAUGACAUCAUAGCAAUCUAAAACAAAUCCAAGUGGCUCACUAUGGACCCUGAAUCUGAAAUAAAGAAUAUUCUAUACUAUUCUAUUUACAUACUAAAGCCAUGGACCUACGGGUUAUUAUUUACAUCAAUGAAAACAUAUGAACAGGGAAUGGGUUUAGCCAGUGCAAACAGACAGUCAUAAAAAGCAAGCCAUUUCUAAUUCUUCAUUUAAACCAGUGGCCAGUAAAUAUCACAGGAUGGGAAAACAUCGCUAAUGUGAACGCUUGUAUUGACAGGAUACGGGUUUGAAAAAAAGUAUAGACGUCCGAAAUAAUCACACGACAAACACGGUCCCGGUGUGAAAGCACCUUAAAACGGCUGCAAAAAUGAGCACUGAAACACAUUAGUCAAGAGAAAACUCCAUCAGGUGAUGAUUAUAGCACGUGUCAGCAUGACCCUUAAAGCUGAUGAAAGACAACAUAAGAACAGAUUCAAUAAAUCAAGAGUCAAACAUUAAAAAAAAAAAAAAAAAAACAACACUUCACCAGUCAGGAGUUUUCCCUCUGAUAUCACAGAGGCCGAAAAUAACUUCACUCUGAACAAUUCCCAGCUGACUUGCUGUCUGAAGAGCUGCAUCCUCCUCUCUGAUCAAAACUAAACUCUCCCUCUUCUCUUCCUCUUCAUCCUAAUUUCCAUUUUUAACCUCUGCAGCCUGCACAGUACUACACAGGAGUCGCUUGAUUCUUCAGACACGCCUCAUAUUUGCACGGAGGAGGCGUCAGUUUGCCAAUGUUACGGAAUAAAAGCUCAGAAAUGCUGCAUUGUGCGUCCUCCUCUCAAACAAAACAUCACUAAUGAUCAGCUACUCAUUCAAUAAAUAAAUCCUCAGUACUGUGUUUUCCUGCACUAAUCAUUAUACUUAAUGUAGGAGCUCUUAUUGUAAGCCUGUGUUUUUAUUUUUGCAACAAAAGCAUUUCAGCUGCAGAUUAUUUCAGUCCUCUUCUGUGAAAUAAUGACGCUUAUGUAACUCCUUAUACCUCCACUCCUUUCAGCGCAUCCUAAUUGCCCUUAAAUCCCAGAUGUCCUUGCGUUUUUUUUUUUUUUUUCCCCCUGCAAAACAAUUAGUUUAAAUGGAGCUACUUGUUUUUGUAAAAGCAUGAUAAUGCACUGAAGUAUCAGAGGAUCAUAAAGCAUUAAAACACGAUUAUAUAAAAGGUUUUCUGAGGACUUUUCAAGAGGCUGUUAAUGUGUCUGAAAAAGAAGAGAAAGACACAAAUCUGAGGGCAGUGUGUGUGUGUUGGUGUGUCUCCAUGCUUGUUUGUUUUCUGUGCACGUGGCGUGCAGGCUGCUCUGAGGUAUUGACGUAUCGAGCUGUGGGCCUCGACCCGAGCCAGGCCACCAAAUUGAGUCAUCAUCAGUUUAACGCAUCUCUGAGGCCGAUCCUGCCGAGACAUCAAUAAUUUACCAGGAUGGGACAAUCAUUUUGGGACCGACCGGCGUAUCGAUAAACAUGUCUCUGGAGAAGAGCUAAAUGCCAAAUGUGUCGUCCUCAGAACAGCAGCUCAGACCGCCAGAGUCUCACAGGAGGACAGGAAAUUCAGCCGGCUGCGAGAUAACAACGGACAGGAUUUUCACUCUCCACAUUUCCACUCCUGCUGGGAUAAUGAAGCUGAAAUAAUCAAUGUUAAACGUUUUAGCAAUAAACCAAAAGACAAGAAGUGAUGUCAAAGCUGUCUAGUAACAACACAAGCAUUAGUUUCUCUCAGCUAGAAGUGUCAACUUUGCAGAAAUCUGAAGUUUAGUUGGAUUUUUUGGUUGAAACUUUAAAAAAGAUGUGCGAAUAAGAACCUAGCUGCACAGCUAAGAGUGCAUUUUUUUGCAAUCUCUAUAUUUAUCUACAAUUUUCAGAAAAAAAUAAGCAAAAAUUCUCAGUCUUUUAGAAUAGGAUGUUUAAUUAUUAUUAUUAUUAUGAUUAUUUUGUUUGCUUUUAAAAUAUGAGUCUAAAAAUCAAACAACCUGAAGGUCAUCAAUGUCUUUUUCACAUGCGCGGUCAAAUUUCAAGAUUCAAGAGCUUUUCUCUACACAUCCAAGAAAUGCACUGAAAUUAAAAAUGGCAACUCCUGCAGCAACCUGGACACCAAAGAGCAACCUGAAAUUCAAAUAAAACUAUAAUUAUUACAUUAUCUUGAUAGUUUUUGUAUAAAUGCAUUGAUUUAAUCUAGAUAAAGUAUUAAACCAAGAGGUGUGCAUUUAUGUUCAAAUGAGCACGUACAAGUUGGUGGUUUUAAGAUGCAUUAAUGUCUUCAUUGGUAGGGUUAGGGUUCAGUUGGACUAGACUGAUAUUUGCUGGAAAAAAUUAAAUCAAAUACAGGGACUUAAAAUCCUUGAAUGUAAAUCUGUGAUUCCUAAAGGAAGUGAGCUAAAAUCCUACUUGUUAACAGUGAAUCAAAUAUAAGUUGAAUAAACACAUUAAUGCAGAUUUAAAGCCAUUACUCCCUAAAUCUAAUUGUUUCUGUUUUACUGUGCUAAGUAGAAAAAGAGGAAACCUCUAUUUCCUCCCUUUAUUCACUCGUACUGUAUUUACUUGUAUAUUUCUACAUGGUCCAGAGUUUUUCAUUCACAUUUCCCACAAAUUCAGUUUGACAUUUUAUAUUUUGGCAGGCUUUUAGAAGUCUGGUGUUAUUUGCUGUGUUUGCAUAUCCCCCUGCAAUAAAAGUCCUACUAAAAGCUCCAGAAAAACACCAAAGUGUAACAGGUUAAUAAAUCUCUCAUUAUGACACCUUUUAAUCUAAACAUUAUCCUUUACUGUUAAUCCGUCCUUUAAACAGUGGGACAUAAAUCCACUCACUUCAUCCCGGUAACAAAUAAGCGUCAUGGUUGUUUCAGAGAAAUUAACAUGCACAGCUGAAUCUCCUAAACAAACCAAACUAAUGAUUUUUGGGGCUCACGCAGGCUGAGUUUGUUCCCCCGUGUGAGUUUAAAGGUGACCUUUGUGUUGUGGGACACACGCCGCUCUGCCACAGCUUGUGAUUAACAUCUGCACUCAGUCUGCACAGCUUGAGCACCAUUAGAGGGGAAAUAUGGAGACACAAUGAGCCAAAGUACAGCAGGUUUUUUAUUUUUAUUUUUUUAUACACCUGCAUAAGGUAACUCCACAAACUUUCCAUAGCUGAUACACAUACACUGAUACACUCAUGCAAGCACCACGUUUGGACAAGUUUUCAGCAAUAGAGCUGGAAUAAACACAACUGACUGACAUGCUACUGAUUUAUUGUUUCUGUUCAAAGAAACUAACAUUAACAACAUUUGCCAUAAUGUUCUUAAUGCAUGUAUAACUUUAUAUGCAGAUGAUGCAGUUACUUACUUCUCAGCUCCAACAUUGAAUCAGGUUCUCUCUUACAAGAUUCUUUUGACAGUGUUCACAAACUCAAAAACAAAGCUGCACCUGCUUGAUUUUAAGAUUUUAUUUUACUUUCUGUCCCCAGAGAGCAUCUUGAUACUGGGUUAAGGAGUCUAGGACUACAUUUACAUGUGCCCCGCACGGACAUUUCACCCUCUCCGUUUAUAAAAAAAACAAUAACUGUGUGCACACCACUACAUUUUCAGAAAAGUUCUUGUUUACUCUAACCCAUAUUUAUGAAGCUCAAGCCCACGUUAGCCAAUCAGAAUCCUGCAUAGCAGCAACAACAACAACAACAACGUCACUUCCUACUUUUGGAAAAGACAAUAUAAAGGGAUUUCCUUAGCAAAAAUGCGACUGCUAUUCUGCAUGCAUCCAUGAUCACCAUAGAUUGUAAACAUAGACUGUAAACAACGUCGCAUUUAACUCAGUUUUCGGUACACAAUCUGCCGUCGGCUACCGAAAUCUCUAUUUACCUCAGUUUUUCUUAGUUUUUUUUUAUGCGCUUGACUAUACAUAUCAAGCCCGAUGCGAUUUUGCAAACGGGGGGAAAAAAGACACGUCCUGGGUGAAAGUGAGAAGACUGACACAACAUCAGACUGACUGUUUUUCAGUUCUGAUUAGACUCUAGUGUUGAGUUGGCUGUUUGUCAUGAUAGCAUGUACUGAGUCGGGGCCAGUACCAGAUAAACACAUUAAACUAUAAUCCAUAAACAUAAUGUAACAACUGAGACCUAAUGGUGCUGUGACAGUAUCUGAACAGGUUAGCUUACAAGCUAAAGUUACUUAGCACAGAUGAAAGUUGAAACAAAGACAUUUAGCAAACUGUUAAAGCACACAAACUAUCGUCAUAUGAGAAAUCCGACGCUAUGACUCUCCAUAAGUUGUCCUUCAGGUCGUUAUCUUUGUAAUGUUUGUGAUUUUUAUCAAAAAGCACUCUGUUCUCCGACACGUAAACAAUCAGCUGGUCGGCCAUGUUGGAUAUACCGGUGAAUCAGACGUCGCAACAACACACAAUCUGAUUGGUCAGAAGUGGACACACAUAGUAUGCGAAACUUUAGAAAAAAUCGUCCGUGAUAUUAAAAAAUAAGUGCUGUAAUAUCGCAGGAUGGGAAAACGUUGCUGAUGUGAACGCUUGUAUUGACAGGAUACAGGUUCAAAAAUAAUAUUGACGUCUGUAAAAAAUCGCAUGAAAAAAACAGUCCCAUUGUGUAAGGACCUUAAGUUUUCCAAAAUUUCCACUCCAGCCGGAGUUUUUAAAAAGCAUCGUUUUCAGGGACAAAUUCACCGUUUCGGUCUAAAUGAAAGGUGCAAACGAUGGUUAAUAUCUCAGUUUUUAAAAAUUACCUGGGUUCGUAUAAACGGGACUGAGGUCCUCUGUUCCUGCAGCCUGGGAUCUCCUACAAGAAGCUUUGGGUCUCUCCAAAUGUUUCAAAAGUAGAAUUAUCCUGAUUCCUCAACAUGUAGGAUAGCCAAAUACACCAACUUGACUGUAAUAAGGCCAAGUGGGUCCUUUGUGUUCUUGUUUGAUGAACUGCCAUCAACCAAAGCACAGACUGAGGGACACAAUGGCACGACACCAAGUCAUUUAGCCAAACAAACAGGGUUUAAUGAAGUUCAGGCAAAGGUCGGUACACAAAAGACAAUCAGGUCAGGCAGAGGUAUUAAAAACUUGAGGCAAAAAAGGCAAGGUCCAAAAACACAGGCAAAGGUAAUACUGGGGUAUAAAUAACUAUGAAUAAAUACUAGAAUGAGACAAGAAGUGUAACGAACUGCCGACGAGACGAUGAGACACACAAGGUAAAAAGGUGGGAAAUAGGUGAGGAGACACAAUCAGGCGGCAGGUGUGACAAGACGGGGGCAGGGAAUGCAUGACAUGAAACGAAGCAUGAAUGUGCAAAAAUAAAGGAAACUUCACCAACAUGAAUGUACUGACAUGUACAAUUGAUGACAUUCAUUGCAGUAUUAAUCCAAGACUUUUUAAAAGGUGAGACCUCUUCACGUGGGUCCUUUCCUCCUUCCUUGUCUCUGUUGUCACCCCUCCACUACUACAGAGUGUGUAGACAAUCACGGCAGCGUUUUAAUUUGUCCCCUCGAUAUCUUAUUUGCCAAGGAGGGACCCUGGAGGGGCCUCGGCCCAAAAAGCACACAGUGUUAUUGAACCAGUCACAUAAAGGGCUCGGUAUUGAUGCAGACGGAGCAGAGGGGUGACAGAGAAGUAAAAGCUUGGCUUGGGGGGAGACAGAGGAGAUGAAGGUGGGAGGAAAAGGGAGGGAUGAAGGGUUUGAAGAGCGAGUUGCGCUGUGGGGAAGGAUGAGAGAGUUUCUACAAAGAGGAAGGAGAACAAGAUGGUGAACAAGACGACGCUCUGGUAAAAAUAGUGCCUGAAAGAAGAUUACCGCUGAUGUACUUGACUUUUCAAUUCUCAGGAAGGGGCUCACUCUUCAAAAACACCUUUUAAGUGAAUGCAUGAAUCCCAGAUCUUUGUGUUCUUUCCGGUUAGGUGAGGGACUACCUGCAGGUGGGGUAAGCUAGCUUUGGUAGACAUGCAGAGAGGUUUAUCUUUUCAUAAAGUUCAUUUAAAAGCUGCUGGUAGAGUGGGUUUGAGUGGCGCUGGAGAGAGGUGCUCAGCUGUUAGCCUAAUUCUGUUUCCUUUUGCUGAAGAGAAGCUUGCUAACUGGGGGAGGACGAUGUCUUAGUACAUCACAGUGUGAGCUACAUUAGAGCCUCUGAAGGAAAGUGAAAACAGCAGUGCAAUCAAAAACUCAAAUACCACUUCAUCUGCCCGAGCUUUGGGCUGUGUUACUUUUAACUUUUUACAAUCGAUCUCCUGAGAAUUUUGUGAAGCAUGAAGUCUAGCUUCCUCUGAGACAGUCAGCUGUAAUUCAGAGGAUUUUCUUGCCUAUGGAUUCAAAAAUCAGCUGAUUAGACUUCUAAAUUGUGUGACAAUUUAAAAUCCUGAUUUUUUUCUCUGAAAACUCGAUUUUCAAUUUCGAUUUUUUAUUCAGUGACAACUUCACCAAACUUCCCUUUAAAAAUAAAACUUUUUCUAUCAUUUCUCAAAACGAAACCACUGAAAGCGAUGUUAUGCACAUGCCAAGCCAGUAAGUGGCGCUGUAACGGUGUUCAGACACCAGCACAAAGGACAGAAAAAGAGUACAGAGCAUGUGUAUAAUGUAGGACCGGGCGAUUAUAUGAUCGUGAUUGAUGAUAAAUCGUGAUAAAUUUCAGUUUAAUUAUGGUGAUCAGCUGUGAGCAUAUUUACUCGAUCAAACAUAGCGGAAAUGUGCGUCCAAUCAGAGUCAAGCUGUUCCUGCUCACUUCUGUAAUCUGCUGGUGAAGUCAACAGAAUGACGUAACGUGAGGCUAAACGCGGAGCGGAGAGCAGCAAAAUAUAUGGCAGUCAAGACUUUUAGUCAUCCUUCAACGAUGUUAUUAGUGAGAUGUUGUUCAACGUCGGUUGUGUUGCGGUGGUUCGGGUAUCUCCAAAGUGACGUCGAGUAAUUAAGCUGAUGUGUAAGGUAUGUCAGCAGUCGGUGUCCUCAAAAACUGGCAACACAACAGAUCUGUUUAAUCAUUUAAAGGAGCACUUCCUGAGGGAUUAUGCGGAAAGCAUGAAAACGUGAGCGGAGUCUGCACAGCCUGUCACCGCUAACGGUACGAGAAGCGUUUUCUUUUGCAAACGCCAUGUUUGUUCACACUGGUGUGUGUGGGAACUGGGGAGCGCUCCCGCAGGACCCCUGGUGAGCCCUGGAGGUGCGAGGUGAUAGAGAGGAAAAUUGAUUUGACGAUUUUGAUUUUUUUUCAUCAUAAUUAAAUCAUCUGAUUAUGAUUUAAAUUAUGAUUUAAAAUGCAGCCCUAAUCUUAGAGCAACAUAAAGUAAUCAUGUAGGCUCCAUUAUUACUAAGAAAUUUGUAAAAAAAAAAAAAAAAAAAUUAAAAAAAUGGACUGCACACAUAACAUUUUCUCUCAGACAUCUAAUCAAACACAGCAGCUUGUUCAGUAGCUCCACAUGCCAAAAAAAGGCCCUGAAGUGUUGGUCAGCCAGUUAGAAUGGCUGUGAAAUAAGACAAGAAAACGUGCCCCAUCUGUAGAUUUUUCCAGAACAGAGAAGCUAGAUAAACAGAUAUAAAAAGGCAUGUGUGAGGUUUGAGUUUAGCUGCUAAGAUUGUGCGUAAAGCGAUUAGAUAUCCAUGUAUUCAAAGCAGAUUUUUAUUUUCUGUUCCCUGUUGUCUGAGCUCAGGAUUGCAUUCAAAAACAGCACCAUAAAAGCUUCUAUUUUGUUGUAGUUUGUGCACAGCUGUAUGUAUAUCACAAAUGCUUUCUUGACUGUCUAUGUCCAUGGACAUUUUAGUUGUCUCAGUUUUGCAGGUGGACCUUGAAACUCUCCAAACCUUGAGGAAUAUCACAUGUCCCAUGCUCAUUUGAAAAUAAGUGCACCUGAUUAGCCAGAACAGGGAGUCAGGUAAAAAAAAAAAAAAAAAACAGGCUCCAAUCCUUUCGUUUGAGCCAUUCACUUCAGCAGAAAGCCAUUAAAGCGGACAAGUUGCUGACUCAACGCCAGCCUGAAUCACCCAGGUAAAGCCUUAGCCGUCUGUUUCGUUUUAUAGGACAGAUACAUCAGUUUAAGCAGGUAGAGACCAAUCAAAGCUCUGACAGACGAGCACGCGCAGCCAAGUGCUGACAGGAGAUACCUGAUCAUGAGCAUCACAGAGCCAAGUUUGAUAAUCAUCUCCUUCAUAUUUGCCUGCUAUUAACUUAGAGAAAACUUUAUCUGAAAACAUCCAAAUCAGCCGGUAUGUCAAAGACCAUGUACAAGACUGCAGUUCAAGAGGACUCACUUCAGGCGUCCGCUCUAAUUAAGAGUAACUUUUAUUAAACUGUAAAAAUAUGUCAUGAGCUUAUGUCCAAGUUUCAUAAUGUUUUUAGAUAGAACAACUCACCCAAAACAAUAGGCGUCUCGCUGCACGCAAUUCACCAGAGGUGACGAAAAUGUGCGAGGGGGUGCCGGGCAUUAAUGCGAAGGAAUUCCUAUGACACAUUGUCAGUAUGUUUGUCGAACAGAACAACACCCAGGUAUUUAGUAUUCAUCACCCGACUAUAAUCACCUUUAUCACCUCUUCUCAGUCUGCUGCAACCUCUGGCCAUAAUUUCCUGGCAUUUUUACACUGAAAAGGUCCUUACACAACGGGAGCAUUUUUUCGUGCAAUUAUUUCGGACGUCAAUAUUUUUUUCGAACCCGUAUCCUGUCAAUACAAGCGUUCACAUCAGCGAGGUUUUCCCAUCCUGCGAUAUUGCGACAUUUAUUUUUUUGUCUCACGGUCAAAUUUUCUAAAGUUUCACAUACUGUGUGUCCACCUCUGACCAAUCAGAUUGCAUGUUGUUGCGACGUCAGAUUCACCGGUAUAUCCAACAUGGCCAACCGGCUGACUGUCGGAGAACAGAGUGCUUUUUGAUAAAAAACACAAACAUUACAAAGAUAACGACCUGAAGGACAACUUGUGGAGAGUCAUAGCGUCGGAUUUCUCAUAUGACGAUGGUUUGUGUGCUUUAACAGUUUGCUAAACGUCUUUGUUUGAACUUUCAUCUGUGCUAAGUAACUUUAGCUCAUACGCUAACCUGUUCAGAUACAACAUACCAUAUGUAUUUUCACUGUCUCAAACUCAAUGGCGUUGCUGUCACAGCACCAUUAGGUCUCGGUUGUUACCUUAUGUUUAUGGAUUAUAGUUUAAUGUACUUAUCUGGUACUGGCCCCAACUCAGUACAUGCUAUCAUGACAGACAGACAUCUCAACAUUAGUGUCUAAUCAGAACUGAAAAACAGUCAGUCUGCUGUUGUGUCAGUCUUCUCGCUUCCACCCGGGACGUGUCUUUUUUUCCCCCCAGAGAGUCGCAAAAUCACAUUGCGCUUGAUGUGUAUAGUCAGACGCGUCAAAAUUCGCCUCUGAAUAUUUCGUAAUUUCACGUCGUAUAUUUGCGUCGUUCCCUGUGUGUAAGGACCUUAAGACUGCGUUCACACCCACCGUGGACCGGACCAUGGUUCGUUUGGAAGAGAACUGAGUUCAGCAUUUUCAAGAGGACCACGGUUUGUUUAUUUGAUCUGGACCACAGUUUGCUUGCGUGUUCAUACCACCUAGACUGAAAGAGUUAGGAGACCACGGUCCUUUUAAAAUGAACCAAACAGUCCUGAUGUAAAUGCGCCCUUAAAGGUGUUGCCAUGAAAUAUCAGCGGAUAAGAUGAUAAGAGGAAUGGUGCUCCAAAAAUCCUCAACACUUGUAGUCCCAUUCUGUUAUGGUCCAAAUAUAACCCCCUUAAAAUGAAUGUAUCACAAGCCUGGGCCUAUAGAUAAAAAAUCAAUCAUCACCAGAAUAUUUGAGAUUCAUCUUCUGGGUGAAAAUAACAGCUGCAUCAUUUUCAUACCAAUCCAAGCAGUAUUUGUCUGAAAAUUUAUCCUAAAAUAUUUAGCCCAUGUGCAGACUUUCAUAAAUCUAGGGCCCUUUACAACUACCAAGCUAAGGUGACUAUCUACGCUUGAACCUGGAGCAUCCUUCCUUUAAAGAACCUUUCUUGUGUCCAUGACGCAAUCAACAUAAUCAGAUCAACAUCUCUCAGACACGCAGUCAUCAUUUCUCACGGCAUCUUUCAAACACAAUCCAUCCACUCUCCUCUUCUCUCGGAUAUCGAUUAUGAAUUUUGAGUCUGAGGUGAAUAAGCGUGCAGUCUGUAAAGUGGUGAGGCAUUAUUCCUGCAGUAAAAGCAUGCUAAGAACCUGAGGCAUAAGCGUGUAAAAGAAUCUCCCAAGGACACUGAAACUAUUACUUUACUCCCACCAAAUCACCAGUUACCCUUUCUUUCCAUUAGAGAGAAGUAAUUAUUCACUCCACCGUGGCAAUCUCACAGCUGUAUGAAGAUAUUACAUUUUAGUCCUAACAAGAUGCAUUCAGACUUUUAUGCAUCCUCUUCUCCCUCGGAGGAGGACACUGGUUUGAAAUACUCGUCCACAAAGUGAAUCAAUAUCUAAUUACAAGCCGCACAUUACGCUGCUUCGACGGGGGAAUGCACAGAGGCCUUCCCUUCCGCCUUAAACCCAGGGUUCAAUAACACCUUGUAGAUUAUUUCUUCAGCCAUCAUUUGCAUGCUGCCCCAGUAAUGGCCCCUCACUUUGAGAAUCUAUUACCAUUUUUUGCCUUAAAGUCAGCACUUUUCCGAGGAUGGAGAUUUGUCUUGCCGCGGUCCAUCACUCAGCCUAAGCUACGUUCGAUUUACACCACCAAAAAGGUAAUAACGUCGCUGCUGAAGGUGUGUUUGUCUUGCAGAAAUUUAAGUGCUAUUCUCUGGCUCCAAUUGUUUAACAGAGGCAGGAUUUUGUAAGGAGGAAGUGAAUCACCAAGACCCAUCUGCACUUACACUGGAUGUAAAGAAGCCAUAACUAAUGUCCUUUUUAAAAGAGCAGACCCAGGAGGAUGAUUCACUCCCGGCUCUGCAUUGGUCUUAAAACGGAAUAACGCUAAAGAUUGAACUUCCAGGAAGGAGAAGAAAACUCAAGGGGAUGGAGGACAAUUACUCCAAUUAACAUAAUGCAGGAAUCAAGGAUUAAUCCUGUCAUUUCCCAUUUCCUGUUCGCUUUUACUGUGUGUGGGAUUGUGGCGCAUAUAAAGCCACUCUCUUACAGCGAGCCUGAGGUGAUGAGCUAAAGAGAAAUUGCUUGUGAAUGGGCCUGACCAGACGGCGAUCAGCAUAUUCCCACAGGGUGUUGGCUGUCAGUCCAUGGGGGGAUCACUCUUACAGCUGCUGGUCUAAUUAAACAGUCGGGGGGAGCGGUGACACUGGAUAUAAUAGAGUUCACUAAGCACUUCUUAGAAAAUAGACCAGAUGUUUGGAGCAUGAGUCAUGUUAAAGCACACUUUUUAGGGAGCAGGACUGCUUGAGCACUGAGGGACAAAUCUCCAAAUAACUCUCACCAUAUUAUAUAUAGAACAUAUUCUCACAUAACACUCAAUUUAACACUGAUUACACUUUGAGGGUCUGUGCAGGGGAGCAGAGAACUUCAACUUAGACUGUAAGAGAGAGUUUAUACGCAAGAGGAUUAGGGCCACUAGAAAAAAAAGAGAAAAGGCCAAUAUAGAUAUUUUUUUAUUAUUAUUCUGACAUAAAAGUCAGAAUUCAUAGAUUAAAGGCAGAAUUCUGACUUCAGUCCUUACACACUGGGAACAGUGCAAAUAUACGACAAGAAAUUCCGAAAUAUUCAGAGGCGAAUUUUGACGCGCCUGACUAUACAAAUCAAGUGCGAUGUGAUUUUGCAACGUCCGGGGGAAAAAAAACACGUCCCGGGUGGAAGUGCGAAGACAAAAAUGAAGUCUACUUCAACUUCAAGUGAUGGCAAAUUGGUACUCCUUUUAAAAUUAUUAUUAGACUGACUGUUUUUCAGUUCUGAUUAGACACUAGUGUUGAGAUGUCUGUCUGUCAUGAUAGCAUGUACUGAGUCGAGGCCAGUACCAGAUAAGAACAUUAAACUAUAAUCCAUAAACGUAAGGUAACAACCGAGACCUAAUGGUGCUGUGACAGCAACGCAAUUGAGUUUGAGACAGUGAAAAUACAUACGGUAUGUUGUAUCUGAACAGGUUAGCUUACGAGCUAAAGUUACUUAGCACAGAUGAAAGUUAAAACAAAGACGUUUAGCAAACUGUUAAAGCACACAAACCAUCGUCAUAUGAGAGAGCUGACACUAUGACUCUCCACAAGUUGUUAUAUUUGUAAUGUGUUUGUUUUUUAUCAAAAAGCACGCUGUUCUCCGACACGUAAACAAUCAGCUGGUCGGCCAUGUUGGGUAUACUGGUGAAUCUGACGUCGCAACAACACGCAAUCUGAUUGGUCAGAAGUGAACACACAGUAUGCAAAACUUUGGAAAAAUCGACCAUGAUCCGAAAAAAAAAAAGUUGCAAGAUCCCAGGACAAACAAACUUUUUCUCUAUAUUCUGUUCUCCAAGAAUGUUGGCAUGCUCAGAUUGUUACUUUCAGUGUGUGAGAACAUUAGAGAAAUGAUUCUCACAGUAACAGAUCACAGAAUAAAACGCUGAGACAUCCCCAUCUUCAAAGCCACAGAUUUCAUUAGACGCUUCUGAAUUUGUUUGAUUUGUUCAUUAUUGAUCUUUUGCCCCCACCUGGACACCAAGAUGGUACUAACAUAAUUGUUGUCCACAAUUUCUCCACCAUAAUCUAAAAAUCCAACCAUGAUUUUCUCCUGCUUUGCUGCAGGGUGUACCUGCAGGCCCAGCAAAGCCGUCACAGCCAUAUUUUAUAAGCUGAAAUUUUGGAGGGGAGGCAGAGGAGGAUCACAGCCAUAAUUCUGAUUCAUUGAAGUACCAUUUUGGCUCUCAAGGGUCAAUUAAUACCCAACACAUGCUCCCCACCUCACUGUAGACAUGUGUAUCUAGCCAAUCCAGCCUCUUGUGCUGGUUUAAUGCUCGACUGUGUUGGAUUGAGCAGAUGAGCAGAUGGCCGGCUGCAUUUCUACAUGUUUUACAUGAGUUUUAUGAUACAUUGUCUUCUAUUCAUGAGUGAACUCACAUAGAAAAUAAAUAAAUAAAUAAAUAAAACACAGACAGAAAGAAACAAACCACAUUCCACAAAGCUCUGUAGUAGAAUAUUUUGUAACGUGUUGUAAAUUUGCGUCAGUCCCGAUGUGUAAGGACCUUAAGUGUAAAGGAAAACUUUUCUGAAAACGUAGUAGUGUGCACACAGUUUUUUUCUUUUUUUUGUAAAAAGAGAGGGUGAAAUGUCCUUUUAUGAAAAUAGCCGGGCACGUGUAAACAUAAUCCAACAUUCAAACAUCUUUAGAUGGAAGGCGCCCUAGCUUUGCAACUUUUGUAGGGUCAAGGUCGGGUCAAUCCAUUUCUAUGACCUUGUGCAUACAUACAGCUCUCUUUGAACGCUCUCCCUGUGCGAUAGCACACGUUAAAACACGUCAGUUCAUUCAAGUUUUUUGUGCAGUUUGGCAUUGCACAAUCAAACAAGCCCUUUAAAUUGACAGGCCUGUGGCAAAGGUGCAACUUACACCAGAACCAUUACCAUCAUGUGCACUUUAGCGCUUUAAAACUCUGGAACUUCACCACUUGUCGUAUCAUCUCUAAUGCACUCUCACUCUAAAUUCAGCUUUGCUCCUGGUUUGUCCAGAGAGUAUUUUGCAGCCAUUCUCGUACUUUUAAUUCAAUUUCACUUCAUGCCUAAUGUACAUUUAUAUGUUUGUAACCAUCCUGCCAGGGAACCACUGAUGGAAAUUAGUCUAUGGCGACACUCUGGCACAUUUACAUACCUAUGUUCAUGUGCAUUGUCCCUUGUAAUUAAUGAAACAGAGUUAAAAAUGCAGCUUUAAUAGACUACAGCGGCCGCCCCUGGAUUGGGAGCGUUGAUGCGGUAUUAUCUAUUCUAUUUAAGAUGUGUUUUUAAAAUACUGUGAUUUAUGAUACAAUUAAAAACAUGCCUGUUUCUCAUGGAAAACCAGCCUGGAUUAUGUCCACCCACCCGAGCUCUCUUUAGCCUGCACAAUCCAACCCGAAACCAUCCAACUAGGUAUAAACUGUCCCAGUCUGCUGCUCCUGCUUCUUGAUCUGCUCAAUAUAUAUUGCACUUAUGCAUGGAUGCAUAUGAAUCUUUCUGAUGCUUGUAUUCAUUUAAACCUGAUGCAAGUCCUUCAGGAAGCAGAUAAACACUGAUUGCAAAAUGAUUUUAAGCCGUGAUGAUAUUUUUUUUCCCAAACCCUCAGGGUGGUCUGGUCCAAAUGUGUUCCGUUGCACCACUAAUUAAAACCAUUCACCCAUUAAUCUUGGGAAUAACCAGCAGACAUACUGUAUAAAUGAUGAAAAUAAUCAUUAAAUGCUAUCAUCCUGCAGGGGGUUGAUAAUUUUUCUUGCUUUUGCGGCCAAACUGUAGAGAACAACAGCAAACAUGCAUAAUCAGAUGAUGUAGCAUGUAUUAUCAUCAAUUUAUGAAUAUCAGGAGUAGCAUCUGUUGCUGCAGGAUGGUUUCAGAGUGUCAGGGUAAUUCUCAGAGGCAAACAGGCUGAAGAUUUAUGAACACGCACGCCGACUCUUAUGGUGUGACAAGGAGAGGGAUGACCCAAUGCAUAUCUGCUUCACUUUUAGUGCUUGAUAGAUGGAGCCGUCCAAACACGACUGUACCCUGCUUAAUCCUUAGCAAACACUCAGUGAACUUUAUAUACCUUCUCUAUUGACAGCGGUGACUUAUUGGAAAUGUCAAAAACGUCUCUGUCCCUUCUGUAACGCCUCAGCAGAGGUUUACAGCGACCUUUGGCUGCAGCUCGAUCAGACGAGGAGGAUUUAUGAGGCUGAAUGUCACUCAGAUUCUCAGGAUUUAUACCUGUCACAUUUGAGUCUCAUUUGUUUCUGUAAAGCAGCUUGUGUUAGCUGAGAUAACAGUCGAUAGAUCAAUAACUCGGGUCAUGUGUAAAGAUCAUGCAGUAAAAUGAGAUUGAUCUGUUUUGAUGUCUGCAGUGGAUUCAACACCAGACCCAUUGAUCACAGUUUAUGAUACAUAAGGAGCAUGAGUCAGGCCAUUAGUUCGUCUUACUCCUCCACAAAUUAAACUGCAGUUUACCUCCAACUGGCUGCAGGGCUUCGGUGUUUGCAUAAAUAUGUUUAAUUCAAUUUGCAUAAAAAAUAGAUAUGAAAUGAUAAAGGAAACAAAAGCUGGAGUAUACUUAGAAACAAAAAAUACUGCGACAUGUGGAUAAAUAAUGAUUCAAGAACUCAAAGAUGCUUCUUUAAAUGACAUGAUGUCAAACAAACCAAGCAGUAGACAGUAGUUUUUUUUUUUUUCCAGGUGCAACUUGUCUUGUCAACUUGUAUUUGCAAAUGCAAACCAAUACAGAGGGAUUGCCUUAGCAAAUGAAACUGCUUUUCUGCAUGCAUCCACGAUCACCAUAGAUUGUAAACACAAACUGUAGAUUGUAAACAACGUGGCAUUUAACCCAGUGUCCGGCGUACAAUCUGCCGUCGGCUACCCAAAUCUCAGUUUUUCUCUGUUUACAUGUAAACGUGCAAACGUGCUAGUUGUAGAAGUCCUAUAAACAGUGGGCUCUAUUUUCGUGCCUCGCCGGAGACGUGCCGCAGGCGCAGCGUAAGUCAGGUCCACCGCGCUGACAAGGCAUUCCCAAGCACAAUUUGGUAUUUUGGUGAGCAGCCCAGCGUAAGUAUCCCCCCGUCCCUAACUCAGCUCCUCCCAGCGGCAUAAGUUGUAGCAAGGGAGGAGAGAGGGCGUGGAGUGAGUUUAACACAGCCGAGACCUGUUUUCACCAAUCACAUCAGCUCCUCUCCUUGCCUUUAAAUCCGCCACAGGCGAGGUGUAUUACCAUUUUCGUGAAGUAGUCAACAAAGAGAUCAAGAGAUGUCUGGCCAAAGCAUCAUUUCCAGGGGCGAAUUCUUUGUUUGUGUCUAAACAAAGGGUGCAAACAAUGGUUCAUGUCUCAGUUUUUAAAAAUAACCAGGGAGGUGUAAACGGGGCCUUGGUUACACAUGUGAAGACCCUUUGCACCUCAGCAGAGCUUUUCCAUCCUAAAAACUCUUUUCUGGGCCAUGAAGGUUACUUCAGGGACAUCUUUUGUAACCCAAUAUACCCUAGGAUUCUUCAACUAUUCAACUUCAAUUUCAAUCUAUUAAACUCCGACAACACACUGACAUUUGACGAUAAAAAUACUUUAUUUCCAAAAGGUAACGUUAGACACAUUAUCUGCACACUGAUCGCCUUUCAUCUGGAAAACUUUGUUGAGAGCGAGAUAAAAAGAGAGCAAGCCUCAGAUGUCAAACAUAAUAAUCACAAAGCCUGGAGUGUGAAUUUUGUUCAUUUACACCAAUUAAGUGCAAAGCUUCUAAAACAUGUCCAGCAGUCUUUUUUUUUUUUUUUUGCUGAGGCUGUUAUAAUCUCUAAAGGAACACAAGCCUGUAUGCAAAGAUGAGGUUGAUUUAACUACCACCAACAUGCAAACACCGCCUGACUGCAAACUCUCACUUUCCUGCUCACAGAGGACGUGGUUGAUUUUUUAAACUCGGCCUAAAAAGACGUGGCGACUGAAUUAUUCAUCGCUUAUGAAAUGUCAUUUAGGUGCAGCAGACUCUGAAGGAGAAUGUAGUUGCAUCUCUGCAUCAUGGAGCCACACUGUCAGAUUCUCAGAUACAGCAGCGGUCACAGCGAGCGAUGCAGAAAUGAUUAAUGCUCCACUGUAGACGCUGCAGCGGUCGUACCAGGAAGAGGAUGAUUAACAUGAUAUAGAUGCUUCCAGGAAGCUUUUACCUAGCUUAAAUUAUCUAUCUCCUGUGGAUUCAGUUUGACCAGAACCUUCACUCUGCAGAGGAAAUGAAUUUACAUGGACCUGAAUUGUUUUUGGUAUUAUUUUUGUACUUAUGAUGUCUUGGACGUAUCCUCCAAUGCAUUAUAUUUAAUUUAUCUAUAGACAAAAAAACAACAAAUGUUCUGUCAAUAAGGAGAAUGUCAGAACUGGACUGUUUUUAAAUUUAAUAAUAAAACACAAAAUUAGUCAAAUUCAUAUUAUUCGUCAAUUUAAAAUGAAGCGACCCAUUUCUUGUUAUUAUUUUCUAUGUGAUGAGCAGGUUACCAGAGCUUUCUGGUUGUUCAGUUUGUAGAAUUUGAUUUUUUUUGGCAUGUUUCUUUGAGUUUCUCUUGAUUCUUAUAAUCCCCAGUCAGUUUCAAUGAAAUCUAAAGUUAUUGAUUUCAUUUACUUAGUGUUCUGUGAUCAAUUCAGACCAGGUUAUGCACAUAUGAACUCCCUGUAACUGGACUGUGACAGUGCAUUUAAUGCGCAUAAUACCAUCCUUCAUAGAGUCGCUGUAAAAGAUCAUAUUUUUACACCCUUAAUUCUAAAAGAGUUAGGAUGCCAUGUAAAAUAUUGAUUAACUGGUGUCAUGAGUCAGAGUUAAACAAAAGAGAAAGGACCCAAAUGCAGACAGAAAAUGAUUAAUUUAAAAAGAACUAAAUGGAAAAAAAAAAAAAAGGACAAAAGUCAAACAAAUGACGCUGGUAAAAAAAACACCAGGAGAGUGGGCAAUUUUUUUAAAUUGCCAAAAGGGGACUUGGAACUUUAAGUGAGAUCUACCUGUCUAACACAGGACCUCCAUCUAUUGCAGUGCAGCUGUCUGAACACAUUCAGACUUCUGAUGAGAGCUUGUUUACACCGAUUUUCUUUGUUCUUUUCAAGAAUGGCUGAUUUAACCAAGAUGUUAUAAUUAUUAAAAUAUUUCUCUCUUUUAGUUUUGUUUAGUUAAUUGUUUAUUUAAAUGGGACAGUGUACAUUCAUGGGCAUGUUCACAAUACAGAGUACUGUCAUCUUGAUUGCCAGAAAUACAAUAUAGUAUACAACAGGAUAUAAAUACUAGGUAUAGUGCUGGUAAAAAUAGGAAUUAGCUGAAAAGAGCAGCAAACGUGGGGCCCUAAUAGCUAAUAGCAGUUUGUUCCAGCAUGCACAGCUCUUGAUGGACCAGGUAUUUUGUGCCAGAACUUCUUUUCUAAAUUUUAAAUUUCAAGAUUCCCUUUCUUCGUAACAGUUUCACAAUAUACUUUUAAACAGUCAGAUUUUCACCAUUAUAAAGAAGUUCUUUGUGAUACUGUAAGUAAAUACUGAGUCCCCACCUUGUCUGAACAAUAUGACAAACGGUGCCCUGUUGAAUGGUAUAGAGCGAUGCUCACACUCCCAGAGUGUAACUGACAUUCCUUGAUAAAUAUUUCCCCAGAGCCUUUAGCGUCCCAGAGUAUCAUCAUAAGUAACACAAAGCUUCUAUAUUUUCAUUUGAAUCCGCUCCUAAAAAAACUCCUAAAAAUAGCAUAACAGAGGUUCCCUGUUGGCUGAGAAAUAAUAAGUUCCCUCUUAGAUAGCAUGGAGUGACUGCAACACUGAUGAAAUGCAUGCCAUGAUUGUAUCUUUGACUUGUUUUAAGUUUUAGGAGUUCUUUAGGAGCAGAUACAAAUGAAAAUAUUAAAGCUUUGUGUUACUUAUAAUGAUACACUGGGACCAAAUCAUACACUGGGACCACAACUCUCUCACACACACUCACACAAUGAACCAACCAGAACAGAGGGGAAGACAGGGACUAUGUACACAUAAGAUAACGAGCACUAACGAGCAACAGGUGAGGCAGACGAGGCACAGGUGAAACUUGAUUAACGAAGGAGGGAAAACUAGGGAAGUAAAACCAGACUUUUCAGUUUUAACACUCUAAGUAUUGUCUUUGCACAAUUUUUUUUAACUAAAUGUAGGGAUUAAACUAUAAAAUUCUGUUUGAACAUGUUUCACAGCAUCCUGAUUUUUUUUUUUUUUAUCAAGGUUGUCAGUAAGUUUGAGUAAAAUAUCAAAAUAAUAAUAAUAAUAAGGCCAGUUUAGUUGCCUGCAUUUGAUCAUUUUACCCUUUUACUGCAUGUAAUCAAACAUACUAACAACACAACAAACAAACAUAAGUCACAAUGACAGGAGAUAUAAGCAGUUAAUGAUGAUACUUUACAUAAAUCUAAAUGCCAAUAUCAUGCUGUUACACUUUUAUUUUUCCGUACCUGACAAAAACACAAUGAUCUGAUCUACAAAAACACAACAGGAUGGUGUGGUAGAAUAAAGUCAGGAGCUUGAAGGCUCUAGCUGUCAUAAUCCUCAUUUUAAAUCAGUUGAAGUCCAAAUCUGUAAAAACCAGCCCGCCUUUUAAAAGCAGCCAAUCAAAGAGCUCCAUGAAACCAGCUCUGCCCCGACAGGUGACCCUGCUUUCAGGGGACAGUGACAGUCAGGUAAAUAGUUGUUGGAGCCCCUAACAGACAUGCUCUGAAUGUGUUUUGUGUUUGGAUGAGGGGGAUACUGCUGCUGCUGCUGCUGGAGGCAUCCUCACUCCAUAUGCAGAGGGGUCAGUCUCAAUCUGAGGGGAAGCAGGAGAAAAAAAGAAAACUCUGUUCAAUCUUUCCCACUAAAUUACCUUGGCAGAUAUCAAACAGAGUCCUUCACUCCUGCUGAAUGAUAAUUGUAGCUCUCUGCCAGGACCAAUACUCGAGGGUCAUCUGUGGCAGAGAGGCUGGAUGGCGUGAAGAAAUUACCGCUGCCUCUCUCUCCUCUAUUUUCUGCUUUGCUUUUUUAAACAGGCAGCCUGGGAGGCUGCUCAAUAACGAUCAUAAAUUCCUAACUUAAGCAGAUAAAGACUUGGAUGUGUGGUGCUAAAAUGAUAAGCGUACUAAAAUAUGUCACAACACAUCAUGAUAAACUCAUAAUAUGUCAAGAAUGAUGUUUUUGGAGCAUCUGUUUGGUCACUGGGGCUCAGACCACCGGGAAAAUGAAGGAACCAGGCAGACAACCAUUGAUUAUACUAGGUUGUUGGUUAGCACCUAUGGUUCUUGUUUUUCUAUGUGUCCUGAAGGGCUGGCCCUUUUCUUCAAAUGAAUCUGCACUGUAGCCUGUAAAAUAGAGGAAUCGUUCCAGUCAGCUGUUACUUUAGUGAAUUCAUGCAGAAGAGCAGAGACAGAAGAGAUGUUGGUAGGUGAAUAGCUUGACCUGUGGCAACACUGGAGCUUUCUGUGCCUCUCUAUAUGAGAUAUUUCUAUCUUUCCAAAGACCUUCAACACAGCUGAUCAUUUGCUUCCUUUAACAGAGGGUAACUAGUGCAGGGCAAAAUGGUUUGAGAAUUAAGAUGUGCCCAAGCUGAAGGUUUAUAAUCUAGCAAAAUGGUGUCCAACCUAGAUUUUUAUUUAAGGUCUUUCUGAUCUUUAAAACUGUCGGCAGGUUGAACAUUGGUCUCAUGGACAAAUUCCUCAUACUAACUCUGUUUUUGGUGAAAGAGCUUUCAAUGUUUUAAAUUCGCCAUUCUGCUCUGAAGUACUAGAUCACCAAAGAGUGGAUUGUUUUCCAGAAAAGCUACUCAUUAUUGUCAGUCGUCCAUCUUGUUUCUAGUAUAAAACUUAUCAUGCUGAUAUCUUUGACAGAACAUUCACAGAAAAUAAUAGUAAUAUCAUAUUACUAAUAAAAUUAAGUUUAUAUGACUGAAUAAAUACAAAAGUAGUUGUGCUUGUGUUUUGAAAUAGGUCUGUGAAGGCUACACAUCAAAUUAAAAAAAAAAUCCCAGGCCUUACAUUCAUUUUUUUUGUUUGGUCUAUUCUAUGAGUGGGCAUUUAAAGACAGUCCCUUGAUCAAUUAAUCAUAUAAAUUAAUGAUCAAUCAUCGAUUUGAUAUAAUUUUUUUGUGCAAAUGGCAGAAAAUACGCAAAAAAAACCAGGUUUUUCCUCAUUGAAACACACCCCUUACAUUCUCUUUUUUUUUUUUUGUCUGUUUUAGGAAUGGAUAUUUUAAGACAGUCCCUUGAUCGAUUAAUCAUAUAAAUUAAUGAUCAGUCAUUGUUUAGGUAAUUUUUUUCAAAUUUUUGUGUGCGAAAUACACUCCCACCCCACCUCCCAACUGUGCGCUACAUAAACACUCUCAGUUGCUACCUGCCCGGCUAUCCUAAUAACCGUUUUUUCCUCUUAUUCAUGAAACACUAAAAUCAGGGACAUUUCCAGGGACAACUUUAGUUGAGGACAGGUUAUCUAAAACGGGGACUGUCCUCCGAGAUCCGGGAUGUCUGGUCACCCUACAGUUCCUCCUUGCUAGCAAGGAGCCAAGUGUAGAGUGAAACUGAGAGCACUCAGAUGAUUAAUUAACCUCUGUGGGAUAUAUGUGGUUCAAAUGGCACAUCAUUGGGGUCGUUGUCGUGUUUUACUUGUACAUUGCAUUGCCGUGUUUGCAGCAAACCUCAUUUUUCUGCUCAAAAUGGUCCCGUUUUUUGCUUUUAUUUUUUAUAUCCUCGACUUCUACAGAAGCUUGCUGACACUGUAUCACUCCCCUUGUAAAAUAUCAAAACCAUUCUGCGCAAUGAUAGUCACGUGUAUGUGAAGAACAUGUGCUGAUUGGUCGAUGGCUGUAGUUUGACUUUAACUUCUUCACCAAGUCUUGUGAGUCAGUUUUGCAUCGACAUCUUGUGAGAUGUGAAAUUUCAUUGUCAUUUGUAGAGGUGUGUCCUGAGCAGACAUACCAACUAGACUUUGGAUAAGGAGCCAAAAAGUAAUUAAAAGAUUGUAGGUUUUUGGGCUCUUCUCAUUAGAUUCUCCAAAAAGACUCUCUAACUUAAUCUGUAAUACCACAGGUUGUCAAACACUCAUUAUGGGAUGUUCUUUGACUAAUAUUUGCCAUCAUUUGUCACCACAUUUAUGACUGCUGUCCUUCGUUUUUAGGGUUGAACUUUUUCAAAGUGCAAACAGGAGGCUUUUUAACCAGCUGUCAGAUCUGACUCUGAGGACGGGGUAUUUUUAGUCCCUGUCAAACCCUCAGCUACGUACCAUGGGGGAAUUUUGAGUGGAUCUGAAAGGGAAGAGCUAAAAGAUAGUGACAUUUUUAAAAUAACAGUAGCUGGCGAUGAGUUGACGUCCAGACAGGCAGUCUUUAAAUAAUAAUUAAGGAGAAACUCCUGUGAUGGUUCAUACAAAGUCCUUCCGAUCCUCAAAUGAUCCCACAAACCUGAGCAUAGAAGCCUGUCAGGACGUCACAGAGUCAGCCAGCUCCUCGUCCUUGUGAUCCUGAUUUGCAUGCCACUCACGCCUCUUAGAUUUCACUUUCUCCCAUAUUUAGCCAACUUUAAGUCAAGCGGACAGAAUGAAAAGGGACUCUCAUUCCAGCGGUAUAAUAGGAAGAGACCUUUUCUAAAUGGCAAAAUGAAUCCACCAUCGACCUGCCGCACAUUACCGCUCACAUAUUCAGUCCUGUAACGAAGCCUGAAACCAAACGUCCAUACCUGUUACAGACGCAAUUUAUACACAUCAGUUGUUUGGGGCGGCCGGUCGAUAGAGAGCUCAGGAUCACCUUGUGACAUGUAAAUGAGGGUCCUCCAGUGUCACAAGACAGGCAUGGCUAAAUGAGCCUUAUGAUUUUCCAUCACCGCCCACCUGACUCUGACAGUCCCUAUAGAGAGCUCACGGCCACUGCAGCUGAAAACUCAUUAAGCAUCCGCGGAGACCGAUGCACUAUUGAUGUUACAUCUAUAAGGCUGUCUUUGUCUGGUUUCCAAGGAGAAAGUGCCGCUCUAUAUUUCUUUAGUUUUAAAAAUUCAUGCAUGCAACAGCUCUGUUUGACUGAUAUUUAUUUUUGGAGGUGGGAAACGUGCUUUUAUAGUUUUUUGAACAACUCUCAGGUCUGCAUAUGAGUAUAUCUAGCACGUUUUUUUUCUGGUUUGAAGGCAUUUUGCUGACUUCUGUAAAACCAUGUCAGCAUUCAACAGGAGAACUGUCAAAGUUAGACCUUUCCAAAGAGAUCAACAUGCUCUACCUUACUUUUUUAUGCAAGAGCAUUGGAGGUUAAAAUGCAACUACAAUGUGGAUUAGUUAUUUGUUUUAAGAAAACAACCAAAAAUUCACCCUAGAUAACCAGGUUAACAAGUCCAAGUUGUCCCAAAUUGGUUGAAUCUGUGCCAAUUUGAAUACUUGCAUAGAGAACAGUCAGUAUUGGCCCUGUAUUAUUUUCCCAUGCUGGUUCAUGAAUGACCUAUGACGGGCUUGAUUCAGGGUUCCUAUGGGUGGUUUGGACUCCCAGAAAAUUCAUAUCUGCUGUCUAAAGGGUUAUCAAAGUUUGUCUAUGUUGAAGGUACUUAUCUAAAAGUCCUUACACACCAGGAAUGACGCAAAAUUACGAAAUAUUCGGAGGAGAAUUUUAACGCGCCUGACUAUACACAACUAGUGCAUAAGGUAACAACCGAGACCUAAUGGUGCCGUGACAGCAACACGAUUGAGUUUGAAACAGUGAAAAUACAUAUGGAAUGUUGUAUCUGAACAGGUUAGCUUACGAGCUAAAGUUACUUAGCACAGAUGAAAGUUAAAACAAAGUCGUUUAGCAAACUCAUAAAUCACACAAACCAUCGUCAUAUGAGAAAUCCGACACUAUGACUCUCCAAAGUUGUCCUUCAGGUCGUUAUUUUUGUAAUAUUUGUGUCUUUUAUCAAAAAGCACUCUGUUCUCUGACACGUAAACAAUUAGCUGGUUGGCCAUGUUGGAUAUACCAGUGAAUCUGACGUCGCAACAACACAAAAUCUGAUUGGUCAGAAGUGGACACACAGUUUGCGAAACUUUAGAAAAUUCGACAGUGAUAUGAAAAAAUAAAUGCCGCAAUAUCGCAGGACGGAGAAAACAUUGCUGAUGUGAACGCUUGUAUUAACAGGACACGGGUUCAAAAAAAAAAUUGACAUCUGAAAUAAUCGCACGAAGAAAACGCUCUUGUUGGACCUUUUAGAUGGGAAAUAACCUACCUUAUAGCUAAAUGACGGAAAAAUGCAUCACCACCACCUUUACUUUCACUGCCUGAAACACAAACCACAGCUUUUGCACCAACGUAAACAACUUAAAAGAGACAGAUAUUGUCUAAUUAGCGAGGCAUGCACUAGAUGCUCUACAACCUGCACCGCAAAACAAAUUGCAUCCCUGUGCGUCAGUGUUGUUUGCAUCCACUGUGCAUUCACCUGGAGCAAAAUAUGCAACUUUCUAUGCAAAGAAGCUUCAUUGUAAAAUAAAAAUCAAUCAUCUAGUCAAUACUUCUAAUUCACAAAUACUGUUGCUAACAGUUUGACUGAAAUAGUUCACCUCUUUAUCAGCACUGGCAUAAACAUGGUAAUCUUCAAAACACACCUGAGACAGGUUUCCAUGAUUUUCUUUGUGUUAAUGUUAAGUUCUCUGUAAUGGAAAAGAAAACUGCAGAAUUAGUCUGUUCUGGGAGUCACACUGCAACAUUUCCAUUUGAAUUACUGAGAUAUAUUCUGCAAAAAAGGAAAAAAAUAAUAAAUGAAACACAAAUCACAAAAUAACAGCAAUUUCCCUCUGAUUAUACAAACAUAUGCUUUCUUCUAUAAUUCUAUUUCUGUGUAAUAUUUUCAGUCGAACACAACUGUAGCCCGAGUCGCUAUACAUCAUAAUCAUCUCCAGCCGGAAACAGAUGUAGAGCAUCGUCUGCCAGGCUAUCAUUUAUUCUAUGCAUUUCAAAAGAAAUGACUUUUCAAGUGCUUUAAAGCAGGCUGUCCGAACCCAUCUGGCACAACAGCAGCAUAAUGACAACUUUGUCUUACUGUGUAAUUCAGCGUGUGGAUCAUCAGAGAGCAACACAACAGUCAUCAUCAUUACAGACGCCGCUGUGCAUUCGGGAAAUUUUUUUCUAAUUGUAAAUGCACAGCCAUUAACAUCCUGGAGUGAGGGCCCCCUGACUUUAUUCAUUAUGUAGAUUGGUUCAGACCAAAGUUAAUUAGUCAGGCUUCACUAUAGAGGCUAUACACUAUACAUUAUACAUAUGUUUCUGAGUCAAAACGGGCGCACAGGCUUUGCAUUCUUAAAGACAGGAGGAUCAGUAUGAUCACUUUCAGUGAGUGGGAACAGACGUGGUAAUGAGCAGCCAGCAGCUUUCGCAAAUUGGCUAUAAAAUAUGUCAGUCUUUUUUAUGUAAGGGGGUCUGCUGUGUCCUAUUUUUGGUGUCAUGAUGCUCUAAAUGUUUUCACUAGGUUAUAAGUCAAGACUGCAGGCAGAAUGUCAAAUUUUCAUUCAUCAGUUUCCACUUCCUUUCAGUCUAUAUUAAACAGGCCAAGAGAAGUUACCAGCGUUUGCUUCAUUAUUUGCCAUCGAAAACUUUUUGUCGACAUUUACCACGGAAUUGAAAUUGUAUAAAAAAUUGUAGAGUGAGUCUUUUUAGUCUUAUACAUCAGCACUUUGCAUCAUGGGGGGUUACCAUCUUCUUAAUCCCUAAAAAGAGGACACGACCAAGUGGGGUGGAGUCACAGAGUUGUGUUUCGUAAAUAUUGAGGGUUAAGGUCCUUACACUACGGGAGCGUUUUUUUCAUGCGAUUAUUACGGACGUCAAUAUUUUUUUUCAAACCCGUAUCCUGUCAAUACAAGCGUUCACAUCAGCGAUGUUUUCCUGUCCUGCGAUAUUGCGGCAUUUAUUUAUUUGUAUCACGGUUGAAUUUUCUAAAGUUUUGCGUACUGUGUGUCCAUUUUUGACCAAUCAGAUUGCGUGUUGUUGUGACGUCAGAUUCACCGGUAUAUCCAACAUGGCCAACUGGCUGAUUGUUUAUGUGUCGGACAACAGAGUGCUUUUUGAUGAAAAACACAAAUGAAGGACAACUUGUGGAGAGUCAUAGCGUCAGAUUUCUCAUAUGACGAUGGUUUGUGUGCUUUAGCAGUUUGCUAAACGUCUUUGUUUUAACUUUCAUCUGUGUUAAGUACUUUAGCUCGUAAGCUAACCUGUUCAGAUACAACAUACCAUAUGUAUUUUCACUGUCUCAAACUCAAUGCGUUGCUGUCACAGCACCAUUGGGUCUCGGUUGUUACCUUACGUUUAUGGAUUAUAGUUUAAUGUGCUUAUCUGGUACUGGAGGACAUACUGUACGUUCACCCUACAUUAUGAUUACGAAGGGUGUCACUGUGAAUGUUAAAUGGAUAGUCACCAUCUGGUCACAGGGAACUGUUGUUUACAGAACCUGGUCUAAAUUGAUUUAUAAAUAAACAACAUAGUAAGUCCCUGUGUCCAUGAUUUGUAUAAACAGUGUCAAACUGCUCACAGGACAGUUGUCCUCUUCCCCUAAAUCCACUUUAAAUGGGCUCAGAAGUCUGUGGUGUUUCUGGAUUAGGUGUUCUAUCUGGUUUCCUCUUUCGUGGUUCAGUUUUAACCUCAUAUGUGGAUUCAGUGAUGAACUGUGUGGCAAGGCGCAGGGUUGAACAACAUAAAAAAAAGGACCCAAAAAUGCAGAUUAAAAAUGAUUUAUUAAAAGAACUAAAUGAAAAGCAACAACAACUAUCCUCUUAAUGUCUAACUGAGAAAUCCCAAAGGCAAAAUCAAACAAAAAGCACUGGGAAAAAAAACACAAAAAAAAAACACAAGAAGACUAAGAUUCACACAUAGAGGAACAGGGUGAACUGGCAGACAUAACAAGCACACACACAAUGAACCAACAAAGACAGAGGGUAGGACAGGGACUGUAUACACAGGCUGGGAAACGAGCAACAGGUGAGGCAGAUGAGCAACAGGUGAGGCUAACGAGACACAGGUGAAACUCAUGACUGAUUAACGAGGGGGGGAAAACUAGGGAAGUAAAACCAGACUAGAAACACAAAUACACAAAAUGCACUCAAAUAAAACCAGGAGAAAACUAAAUAAAGAGAAAAUAUAACAUUGGCCCUCAUUUAUCAAACUUGCGUACGGCAGAAAACUUGAGUACACCUUGCGUACGACAAUUUUGACGCUAGGAUCAGCAUUUAUCCAUCUGCAUGUGAGUGUAAGCUACGACCAAAAAUUUACAUUCUGUGUAAUAAAUUUCUGAAGUUUGUCCACAGCUUCAUAGGGAUUGCUGGAGGAGGCAGGAUUUAUGACCUAUACUGCAGCCCAUCACCAGAGGGUGCUGUUCUCGGAGUGGCUUCACCCAGCAAGGAGGCAGACGGCGUCCAUUCUAUAUGGUUUUGACACUUUAUUUGUAUGUCUCUGCUUUAUUUUUUAACAAAAGCUCAACAUUUUACACAGUGUCUCGACUCUUACAGAACUGGGUUUGUAAAAAAAAAACAAAAAAAACAGUAUAUUGACAAAUUAAAGUUAGUGUUAUUGAGAAGGGAAAUCUGUAUCUUUGUUGCAUCAACUGAAUUAGAUUGAGGUAUUUUUGCUGCCAGUGUUAGGAGCAGGGAUUAACAGACUGUACAAACAUGUAAAUGAAUGAUUCAGUCUCGGUAAAUAUUCCAUAUAGGAUAAGUUUACACUGCUCUGUGUGCAUGCAGGUGUUUGAACAGCGGCUUUAAAACAACUCCACUUCCACGGAAAUAAUCCCUCAAAUAAACACCCACCUCUUAGACAAACAGUCCAGAACAAUAGAUGCUUUAUCGUGUGAAAUGAUCAGGGGCAGUGGAUUUAAGUUUCUGUGACAGAGAGAGAAAAUCUCAACAAAUAAGCCUUCAAAACACUGUGUCUGUUCAGAUUACCUCCAGCCCGAGCAGCACAUCUGUUCUUGAUCCGAUCAAUUCGAUUUCUAAUUAGAUCUGAGGUGAGGAUCACGCAGGUAAAUCUCUUAACACCUGGCCAAUAUCAAGUGGCACAAAACCAGGCGAGGGAAGACUUGAUCUCCCCUCUUUCAGUCUGCAGCGUGGGACGUUCAGCAGCCUUGGUUUCAUUAGAUUGCUUAGAAAAGACGACCUGAUCAUCAAUAAAACAUGGAGUUAAUGCUUCCUUUAGAGAAUGGAUGAGGGAAACUAGGCCAAUCCAUGUUCCCGUCGCUCUAACUUUAAAGAUCUUUAAUUCAAAAGCAGAACACACCUCUCUCUCUUUCUGCUACAGAAUUUAUUUCACACUCAGACCGACUGGUUUCUGAUUCCUCUCCGAGUCACUGUUUGCUUUCAUCCACACUUCCUCGCCAUUUCCCCGAGGUCCCCCUCUCUCUUUCACACCCAUAAAAUAUUGAUCUUUAAAUAUUUAUCCUGCAAACAUCCACAGGACCUGACCCGUAUUCCCAGUACAAGUGAAAUAUUCACCUUUUGCUAAAUAAUUGAUAGCUGCAUCUGUGUUUCAGCACCUCGCUGAACUUUGGAGCUUGUUUUACUGAAAGAUGGAGCGUGUGCAGUUCUUCGACAGAGCCGAGAAAGAGCUUUAAUUGGACUCUCCGCGGGGAGACUUGGAGUGGGGGGUUGGGUGCUGGUUGGAGGAGUAAAAUAGGGUUAUAAAGAGGUUAGCAUGUUGACCUCUAAGAUGUUGAUGUGGUUGUUUUUUAGGGCGGUUAGACAGCGUGGUAAUGGGAUAAAGCUGAUGCUGAGCAUGGGGGUUUGCGCUGACUUGUGACCCCCGCCCUCCCUCGCCCACUGGAACUCAUAUUGAUCCACUAGCAGCUAGUUAAGCCAUGCUAAUUCCCCCUUGCUCUGCAGUUACAGCAAAGGUCAGAGUAGUGGCAGAUCCUGGUUAGAGCUUGAGGACCCAGAGGACUGAUACCUGGCCAGUGUUCACUUCUUCAUGUAACAGAGUGGAAGAACAUUGUAGCGCUUGAAUAAUUCACCUGCGCCUCAGGGGGGGAAAUGAGUACUCAAAUAUCUCGCUCAGGAGGAGCUGUUGUUGAAAAUUUAAUGCCAGUUUAGACCAACGAUUUGCAAUGAAACAAAACGGUUCAGAAAGUUUGGGGAGAGUGAACCGACCUGAACUGGACUCAGGUUGACUUACUUUUUUUUUACAGACUGGAUUCUGAACAUUUUACCAGUUUGAGGAGCUUGUCAAGUCAGCUGGAAGAGUUGGUUGGAGGAGUAGAUAGGGUUUUCGACAGAGGGGAUCCCCUUAUGUAUGAGUAAAAGGAAAUAUUGUGUCCACAUGACUCCAACCACGUCAACAAACCUAAGCUCUCAAUGCACAUGGAAUAAGAAGUAUCAUACAAAAUAAUUUCCUUGUCUUUGAGUCAGUCCCCAAGAGGACACAUGAGAUCUUCAGCCAAUGUCCCCUUAAAAACCAACAUGCUCUAAUGUUGGAUGAGGAGAUGCUAAUUCUAGAAGUCUAGAAGUGGAUUUCCUCCUAUGGAAGGACAAAAUCUACUGCUUAUAUGGUUAUGUGGCUGUCUUCAUAGAGGCAACUCGUUAUCACGCGAUUGCACGUGAAUUCACAGGGUCUUGUGAGUUCUCGCAAUUCCCUCUAUCUGAAUUCGCAAAGAAAUUUGCCUCACAAACGCAUCCAGUAGGAAGGGAGGAUGACGAAAAUUGGUAGCCUUUGUUUAUGAUCUCUUUUGUUUGGGUUUCUGCUUUUCAUGAUUUGUCUUGAGACUUCAUUGCACAUGUCAUCGCCUUCAUAGAGGCUGACGUGCUAAAUCACGCCAGGCUAUUUGAAAUUGAACCUAAGACCAGUGCAUGAUCACUGUAGCCUUCAUAGACAAGCUGCAUGCCCAAACUGUAGAACCAGUCCUUGGAUAGGAAGAGAAAUUGGGAUGGUCUAAUCAAAGUUUGCAGAAUAAAUUUGAUUAACAUUCUGUGCUGUUGCUGUUAACAUGAUUAAACCUUUCAAUGACCAAUAAUUGAAACUGUUUAAGAAGUUCACCAUUACUGACUUCAUUUAAGGUUAAAGGUCAUUUCACACCAGGACUAUUUUUGUCGUGCAAUUAUUUUGGACGUCAAUAUUUCUUUUUGAACCCAUAUCCUGUCAAUACAAGCGUUCACAUCAGUGAAGUUUUCCCAUUAUGCGAUAUUGCAGCGUUUAUUUUUUCGGAUCAUGGUUGAUUUUUGCAUAAAGUUUUGCAUACUGUGUGUCCACUUCUGACCAAUCAGACUGCGUGUUGUUGUGACAUCAGAUUAUAGUAUAUCCAACAUGGCCGACCAGCUGAUUGUUUACGUGUCGGAGAACAGAGUGAUUUUUGAUGAAAGACACAAAUAUUACAAAGAUAACGAUCUGAAGGACAACUUGUGGAGAGUCAUAGCGUCGGAUUUCUCAUAUGACGAUGGUUUGUGUGCUUUAACAGUUUGCUAAACAUCUUAGUUUUAAUUUUCAUCUGUGCUAAGUAACUUUAGCUCAUAAGCUAACCUGUUCAGAUACAACAUACCAUAUGUAUUUUCACUGUCUUAAACUCAAUUGCAUUCCUGUCACAGCACCAUUAGGUCUCGGUUGUUCUUUUACGUUUAUGGAUUAUAGUUUAAUGUGCUUAUCUGGUACUGGCCCCGACUCAGUACAUGCUAUCAUGACAGACAGUCAUCUCAACACUAGUGUCUAAUCAGAACUGAAAAACAGUCAGUCUGCUGUUGUGUCAGUCUUCUCACUUCCAUCCAGGAUGCGUCUUUUCCCCCCUGGAAAGUUGCAAAGUCGCAUCGGGCUUGACGUGUAUAGUCAGGCAUGUCAAAAUUCACCUUAGAAUAUUUCGUGAUUUCGCGUUCUAUAUCCACGUCGGCCCUGGUGUUUAAGGACCUUUACUUGCAUCCAAAUAUCCAGUAGUAAUGAUAAAAAGUAAACAGAAAGUUGUUUAUGCUGCACAUUGCAAGUGCUUUCGUUUAAACUGCUCUUCGUGCAAAUUUUCGGUCCUAAUCUGUUUAAAGUCUGAGACGAGUAAUAUUUAACCCUCAAUCCAGAAAAAGAACCAAACUUUCUGCAAGAGCACGCAAAAAAACAAUGGUCAAGUUUAAUGGAAUAAUUAGGAUAGUGCCAUAAAUUGUAUGAAACCUGAACCAACCUAACUUUUGGUAGGUUGAGGCAGAAUUGAAGCUGGCCUUUCUUCCUUGUAAGCUGUGAUAGUGUGCUUGCUUGUCAGUUAUCUCAGCCAUACUUCUUGUUCGGCCAAAUUUGUCACCUAAAUAUUUUCAGAACUCAAGAGUUAUAAUAAUGUAGGUCCUACAGUGUGUGCUGUAGCAAGAUGCCUAAAAAAUCUCCACAUGGAGGCUUCCAAAUCAGAUGGUACAACUCGUCUAAUUAAAUUUGUCUUUAUGCAUGACAUAAAAAAAGACUCCACCCUGAGAUCUGUAAGCAUCUAUGCAGCUUUGCUCUGUCACCACUGAUGAAAGGUUUUGUCAUGUUGGUAUCUUUAAUCAGAAACUGGAGUAAAUUCUUCAUUGCAGAUGACAUUUGGCUGUUUAAAGACAGUGCAUUGCAUGGGGUACAUUAACCAGACAGCUUAGAAGUUUAUUCAAAGCUUCCUGGACAGUUAAUUUAAGAAAUGACUGUAAACUAAAACAGCUUGCUUCAUCUGCUGCCAACAAAGUUUGUAAUUCUAACCACAGAGAGAUUUUUUCAGCUAAAUAUGACAAAUCUGCUUUUCUUAUCUGGUUAUUUGGGUCUUCUGAAAGGAAAGAAAAGGACUGAUGUGAGAUGUGUUGGUAUCUGAGCUGAGCAAUUGUGGGUAUUUUGCCAAAUGGAAACCAAAUAGUCAGGGUUUUUUCUUUUAUCUGUAAAGCCUAAUGAGGUUUAAAAGUUUGAGGGUUGAGUUUUGCUCUUGCUGUUUGCACUUAAUGUCAGCUUUCAGAUGCUUGGGCAGCAGCAGAGAAUAAAUAUUUAAGAGUAUUGAGACACCUCCAUUUAUCAAUUCAAACAAAACUCUUGGCAGGGCUCCUUUAGCCUCACGGUCACAGCGUUUGUUUGGCAACCUCCCCGAGUGACACAAAAAAUCUCCCACUCCCGGCCCCUGCUCAAAUUAGAAGACAUCUGCUGUAUAAAAACACACUCAGAUGUGACUUUUGGCAACAUCACAUGUACAAUCAGAGAAAAAUAAAAGUAGAAAAUCUUAAAAGAUGCACAUUAAACUUUUUGGGGAGUGUUUACAGACUGAAGAAGUCAAUUCUGGGGCCUGUUUUAUACCUGAAGUGAGAAUACGGCUAGUGCUGCUUAUAAAACAUGACAAACUACCACCGAACUGUUUUUCAUUUUCUUUAUCCCGUCUGACUUUGAGUUCCCUAUUGAAGGUCAAGAGGUGUGAAAGUGAAGUCUCCUCUCUACACUCCCCCUGAGUUAACCUACAUGCAUAUUACUGCUUAUUUAUAGCCCCUCUUAGAACCACUCGAGUGUGGACAAGAAAUAUAUUCCAUUACUGCUUCUUGUGCUCCUGUGCAUACCUCUCUUCUAUUAUGUGCCCCUGUGUGUGCAUACCCUUUGCUUUAUAUGUCUAAAGGCUGCUAAUGGAUAUACGAGCUGACAGAGCUGCUGUGGGCGUUAUGGUACAUGCAGAACCAGACAAGGUACACCUGCAGGCCUCCAAUCAACCCAAACCACUCUGAAAUUACACCAUUCUUCAAACUGGCUCUACUGAUUAAUACACAUGGGUGAAUGUGACCUCCACGGGAACUCCUUUGAAAAUUUCUAGAGGACCAUGCAGCUACUUCUGCAAGGUUAUCUGCAAAGACCAUAAAAUAUUAACAUUUUUACCAGCCCUGAUUUUUUGUAUAUGCAGAAUUUGAGUAUGCCAAGACCUCCAGAUUGUGGGUUCGUUCAGUAAGAGGAAAAACCAGAGUGUCAAAUGGAGGGUCACUGAUGCUGCUCUAUUCUUUAUCCAAGUGGGUCUUUGCUGCUGCUCUCCCUGCCUUUACCCCGGCCCCUCUUUCCCAUGCUAUGUCCAACUUUACCACUGUCAUAUUUCUGUUCUGUACCCCGGGGGGUCUUUGCAGCUGCUCUCCCUGCUUUGGCUUUUCAUAUAUAUUCAUUUGAGAUAAAGGGGAAGUGUGCUCUCCCUGCCUGGGCCUGUAGCACUCAUCAUGCACACAUCACCAUGUUUUUUUUUUUUCUUAUGUUUUUAUCUUUAUCAUUAUAUUAUUUAUCUGUUUAUUUGACUGCUGGUGAAUUCAAGGUUCACAUUAUACCAGAUUUUAUUUUAUUCCAGUACAGACUAUUUCUAUACAUACUAUAUUAAAACAGCUGAAACGCUCAUGGAUGAUACGAGAUUACUUAUGGAAACACCACUCUGGAUACCAAAACCCCAUCAACAUUCUACAUUUUUCAUCAUCGCAUUGAAUUUGAUUUUUACUGAUAGGCAUAACAGUCCAUAACACCAACAACCACAGGCUGAUAAUUGUGACAGUGACCAGAAAUCCGAUUAUCAUAUAUUAAUCAUGGUUACUGCAAGAAUGUCGGCAAAUCAGUCAACAUUUACCUGUAAAUGAAAAUGAUCGGUUUCUCCGGCAUCUGUUCUUUACAGCUGCUUCACGCUGAAUGAAAAGCCUCAUCUUCAGUCAUUAAAUCCCAUCAGGCAUUUGAACGCAGAGGGACACAUAUGUUGAUAAAUCUGCCACAGCACUGUGGCAUUUUGUACGGUGGUCAACUGUGUUUACUUUGAUUACCAUAUAUGACGACAUGACAACAAUAUGCAGAUAUGAAUGAAGCAUAUACACCUCUGUGUACAUUAGAUUUAAUUAAAAUCUUUUUUUCAAUUUAGCUGAUAAAAAACUGCCAAAUGGUAAUAUACGUGAGAAAAUUAGAGUUAUAAAAGGUCCUAUAUAAAAAAGAAAAAAUAAUGAGAAUAAUUCUUACACAUACAUGUGCAGUUUAGUUUAGUCAUCUUCCAGUCUAGCAAUCUGAGUGAUGUGGAAGCUAUUAAGUUUCUGGAUUGUUUCUGCAGCCUGGGAAAACAGCUCCUACAAGUGGAUUUGAUUUGGCUCCCAUGGUGCAAAGUGAUUGGGCAUGCAUGCAAAACCACUACAACUUCCCACUCCUCAAACAUGUUCGAACCCUAACCCUAACCCUAACCUCACUAACAUGGUUUCGCUUUUGGCGUUGCAGGGUCAAGAUAGCAAAGAUAAAAGGUGUCAACCUUAAGGUCCUUACACACCAGGACCAACGCAAAUAUACGACGCGAAAUUACGAAAUAUUCGGAAGCGAAUUUUGACACGCCUGACUAUACACAUCAAGUGCAAUGUGAUUUUGUGACAUUCCGGGGGGGGGGGGGGGGGACACAUCCCGCGUGGAAGCAAGAAGACUGACACAACAGCAGACUGACUGUUUUUCAGUUCUGAUUAGACUCUAGUGUUGAGAUGUCUGUCUGUCAUGAUAGCAUUUACUGAGUCGGGGCCAGUACCAGAUAAGCACAUUAAACUAUAAUCCAUAAACAUAAGGUAACAACCGAGAACUAACGCCAUUGAGUUUGAGACAGUGAAAAUACAUAUGGUAUGUUGUAUCUGAACAGGUUAGCUUACGAGCUAAAGUUACUUAGCACAGAUGAAAGUUAAAACAAAGACGUUUAGCAAACUGUUGAAGCACACAAACCAUCAUCAUAUAAGAGAUUAAAUGCUAUGACUCUCCACAAGUUGUCCUUUAGGUCGUUAUCUUUGUGAUGUUUGUGUCUUUUAUCAAAAAGCACUCUGUUCUCCGACACGUAAACAAUCAGCCGGUCAGCCAUGUUGGAUAUACCAGUGAAUCUGAC
Molecule: non-coding RNA, 37064 nt
Organism: Xyrichtys novacula (pearly razorfish)
Lineage: Eukaryota; Metazoa; Chordata; Actinopteri; Labriformes; Labridae
Source: the annotation of a GenBank genome assembly